Molecule: ribosomal RNA, 50 nt
Filed under: Alexandrium margalefii
Lineage: Eukaryota; Dinophyceae; Gonyaulacales; Pyrocystaceae
Description: partial Eukaryotic large subunit ribosomal RNA
Source: RNAcentral
GUUCCCUCCGAAGUUUCCGACAGGAUAGCUGGAGUUGCACAGUUUUAUCA